CGUAACUUCCAUAAACCUAUCACAAAGGAAGAAAUUGUCUCCUCUUUUCCCUCUCUAUCUAACAAAUGGAUGGAGUCUGAGAGGAAACCGCACAUUCCCCUUCGGGUUUUCAGGGGGAAUCGCACAAUUCUUAAAGGUCUGAACAUGUUUCGCUGUCCUCUGUUCUCGGUCAAACACACACCUGUGUGGUGGCAAUGGAUCGAGCUCUGCCAACCUCAGAAUCCUCCUCGCCGGAUCUCGAAGGGUUUCGCCAAGUCUGAAGUCGUGUCCGCAGAUACUUUGGGCAGAUACUCUGCUUCCUUCUUCUCUGAUUUCCUUUAUUAUCCAUACUUGUCAACUGCUUAACAGAAUGAGCGAAUAGAUUCUUCUCAAUCUGACUUUAUUCGAUGAGAGCAUGCAGAAUAGCAAAUACCAUUGUGACUGGGGUGCCGUCGAAAAUUACGUUGUUGGAAGAGAGAAGAGGAAGCAGCACCUUCUGAUGGUAUCUCAGCAUCAGAUUGACGGGCUUGAAGUUUGGGUGCAAACCACCAACUCAAAGGAAGGUGGUUUUCGGCUCGAUAAUCUCCAAUAGAUGGAUUGAAUAUGCAAGACCAACCUUCUCUGUGGAUCCUCAUAUUGCUUUGUCCUUAGCCUCAAGAUUCAGGACAAACCCUCAUUUGAAGGCAGAAGUAACUCGAGCUGAUUCAGGUUUGUGAAGUUUAUUUUACUGAAAAUAUAGUACGGAGAGACCUUAUAUAUGUUGCAAGUUAGUGUUGAACAUUGUCUACAUUGGACUAACAUUUCUUGAAUCCUAAGCAUGAGAUGACUUAAAAGCAAGUUUUCUUGAAGCGAGGGAGCCAUCUUAGCCAGUGUGGAACAUCAUAGACAUUGCACUUAGGGGCGUAACUGGACCAUGAUAAUGAUAAUUUAGAAGUUGACUCUUGCUUGGCCUGGGUAUCAGUAUUUUUCUUUAACUCAAACAUCAAAUGAUUUUCGGCAUGCUUGAUUGAUCCAACUAUUCUCGGGUUUUCUGUGAAUAUUGAUCUCAAGUUCAAGUUCGAACUUGAGUACAAAAAUUAUCAACUUAAAGGAAAAGUGAAGGCAAAAUCACUAUCUGAAUCCUGAUCAUUCAUGAAUUUAAUUUGAAAUCGAUUACAAAAUCUUACUAAAUCAGAUCAACAUCAUGAAGGGAUCUCUUAUGAUGCUCACGUAAGUGCACGUAAACUUGUCAGAGCAUUCAUAUAUAGGAAAGCCUACAACCAGACUGUGUACAACUGCAACUGAUUCACACUGAAAGCUUUAAAUUCCCUUAGCACAGCAAGCUCAGGAGGACCUCAACUUCCAUAAACAGAAUCUUCGUUGAGGAUGUGCAGCUCAAUGAGGAAAAGCAAAGAAUAGUAGUGGGGAUAUAUGACUUUUAACUUACAGGAUUCAGGAGGUAAUGAUCCGAACAUGUUAUCCUGAGCAUAUUAAUUUGCUCAUAGGAAAAAAGUUCAGUUUUUAUGGCAAAAGCAUAUCCUUGGUAAGAAAACCCAAAUAGGCCUUGCUAGUGUUGCCUGAUCUGAUAAAUAAGAAUGGUUGAGGAAUAGAGGGGGAAAAUCAUGUCAUCACGGGGAUUGAGAAAAAAGUGACAUAGAAGCUCACACUUUGAGUUGCUACAGCAGCAGAAGAAAGCUAUAGCUUGAAGCGAAAAGACAAUGGUUAAGUACUGGAGUACUUGAUUAAAUCCACAACCUACACAAGUCAUACAUCAGCAAGCUCGACCUUCACUAAUACGGGGGUAGUCAUCACUGAGUCACGACUUACCUUCCUCUUGAGUUUUUUGGCUCAUUUGUAGUGGGCAAGAAUUAUUUGGGCUGGCUACAGGGGUCCAUUUUUGGUUAUUCAGGUAACAUAACUAGUUUGAUGAUUGUGUUAGGCAGGUUGUUAUUAUUUUGUCAUAAACACGACUAGUAUGAACUCGACAUACUAAUUUGUAUUGUUUCAUUGUAUCGCUUAGGAAUUUAUUUUUCCUAACUCUAUUUCAUAAACCCAAGAGAGAGAGAGAGAGAGAGAGAGAAUGGAUGGGCGAUCCAUUGACGUUGACUUGUGAGACCAACUUACACCUAUACAAUUACAUCGAUUGCCUCAUGCACCUUAGCACAUGAUUGUAAAUUGGCAAGUUUUAGGACUAUGCCUCGACGUGCCAGGCAAUAUCUACUCUUCCAAUAAAAAAUUCUUAGAUAAACCUGAUGCAUGUAUGGCCAGUUCAUAGGUACUGUUGGAAGUAAUGAGCCCCAAUCUAAUGGUGCAUGUUCUUGGGGCUCACAUGUACCGAAUGCAGGCAAUACCUGCUCCUUUCCGACAUCCCUUCUCCUUUUUCCAAGCUGGUUUGAUUUGACAGAUGUUUUGUUUGCUUCUUCCAAAAUUUCGAUCAUGACAUCAGAAGCCAGAGUCAAUGGAGCAGAGGUGAAACCUUGCAAUUAGGACAAGAGCAACUUUUCCAUCACAGGCCCUCAAUUCUGCUUUGGUUUCAGGUUUGUCUGAUCCAGCAUUCGAUUCCGACAUCCCUAGCAGUUCCUUGAUUUCCUCAAAUUGCUUAACCUUGCUUGGCAUCAGAGGACUGGAGUCCAACAGCAAGGGCAGGAAAGGCUUCUCGCAAGCUACCCGAAGAAGAAGCCGGAGGCUUACAAAGAGAUCUCGCUUUGAGUUCCCUUAUCCAGUUAAAGAAGUAAACACGAUUGAUGGUAAAUUUAGGUGAGAUAUAUUUUUCGUCGGAGAAAAAGACAUGAUCUAU
This is a long non-coding RNA of Syzygium oleosum, 2755 nucleotides long. RefSeq lists it as uncharacterized. The record is from RefSeq and is a predicted model, not a curated record. Lineage: Eukaryota; Viridiplantae; Streptophyta; Magnoliopsida; Myrtales; Myrtaceae. The transcript is spliced from 5 exons.